GUUUAAACUCAAAUGAAUUGACGGGGGCCCGCACAAGCGGUGGAGCAUGUGGUUUUAUUCGAUGCAACGCGAAGAACCUUACCUACUCUUGACAUCCAGAGAACUUUCCAGAGAUGGAUUGGUGCCCUCGGGAACUCUGAGACAGGUGCUGCAUGGCUGUCGUCAGCUCGUGUUGUGAAAUGUUGGGUUAAGUCCCGCAACGAGCGCAACCCUUAUCCUUUGUUGCCAGCGGUUCGGCCGGGAACUCAAAGGAGACUGCCAGUGAUAAACUGGAGGAAGGUGGGGAUGACGUCAAGUCAUCAUGGCCCUUACGAGUAGGGCUACACACGUGCUACAAUGGCAUAUACAAAGAGAAGCGACCUCGCGAGAGCAAGCGGACCUCAUAAAGUAUGUCGUAGUCCGGAUUGGAGUCUGCAACUCGACUCCAUGAAGUCGGAAUCGCUAGUAAUCGUAGAUCAGAAUGCUACGGUGAAUACGUUCCCGGGCCUUGUACACACCGCCCGUCACACCAUGGGAGUGGGUUGCAAAAGAAGUAGGUAGCUUAACCUUCGGGAGGGCGCUUACCACUUUGUGAUUCAUGACUGGGGUGAAGUCGUAACAAGGUAACCAAGGGCGAAUUCCAG
RNAcentral lists this ribosomal RNA (623 nucleotides) under uncultured Serratia sp. RNAcentral's name for it is "bacterial SSU rRNA". It matches the Rfam family "Bacterial small subunit ribosomal RNA", at positions 893 to 1516 of the family's 1533-position model. Lineage: Bacteria; Pseudomonadati; Pseudomonadota; Gammaproteobacteria; Enterobacterales; Yersiniaceae. The record is from RNAcentral.